This is a long non-coding RNA of Dioscorea cayenensis subsp. rotundata (Guinea yam), 828 nucleotides long. RefSeq lists it as uncharacterized. NCBI's taxonomy places the organism in Eukaryota, Viridiplantae, Streptophyta, Magnoliopsida, Dioscoreales, Dioscoreaceae. The transcript is spliced from 5 exons. The record is from RefSeq and is a predicted model, not a curated record.
UAUAAUUAAUACCGGCUUGUCUUAUCCUCUCCCUCUCUCGAGACUCCGACAAGCCGCCUCCAUCUCCGCAGCCGAUCGUGACGCAGAUGACCGCCAUGCCGCCUUCCUCAUCCUUUACUCCUCCACUUGGAUCUGAUUGGUGACCACUAUUGCUUCUCCGCCGAUGUCUCGGGUGUCCGACAAUCAUCACCAUUGUUUCCAUUUCGAGGAUUUCAGGUCUACUAACGAAUGACUAUAAUUUGGAUCGCAAGUUGACAAUCUUGGCCUAGAGUGCUUCCGAAGUGGGUUAGGGUUCAUUGAUUCUAGGUAUCAAAUAUUGUUUUCAAAGGAGAAGAUGAUGGUGGUGGAGAAGCUCUCUUCCUUAUAAGAAAUCGAGGCCAGAGGCUUCAUAUUUGGAUAACCCAUUGCACUAGCUAUUGGUGCAAAGUUUGUCCCACUGAGAAAACCAAGAAAGUUACCAAGAUGUAUUUCGUGAACUUAUUGAGGACAGGCCACAAAAAUCCAUCAGAGAUGAGGUAGAUCUUGUGGCAUUACCAAAGCAAUUGUGGUGUUUACUGAAAGAAAAGAAUGUUGGUGAGGUAUAAUCAGCAGAAGUUGGAUGGCUGUUUGACCAUGGCCAUGCCCUGACAUCAAGUUGUGUUUUCCUUCAGGAUGGAAGACUAAAGGCAAGUAUAUAUCUUCAAGUGCUUCUCUUUUGUAUUUGGACUGUGUGAAUGAUGAUCACAAGCAGACCUGUAUCAUAUGUGAUGAUAUGCUUAAGUUCUACUUAGAUUUACGGAGUUUAUGGGAACACUUAAUACGACUAAAGCAAAACUAUGCCUAUUGACA